CCUAGAGAGGGCUGUUGAGCUCCCAGUCACCCUCUGGUGUCCUCAGGGACAAAGGUAUUCACAGUCUUCACGGCUGACCCUUCUCCGUGAUCUCCUGCCUGAGGACCUCUUACCUUGGGCGUUUACUAAAAAAUCUACAUCCAGGACAGCUCCAGAGAAGCAACCCACAGAAGCUCCAAUCUACUCCCACAGACGCUUCUACUGGGCCUUCACCCUCCUACCAGCAGAUGGUCCCACAGACCCUGGACAGCAAUGAAACAGCCAACCCUCCUGAGUCUGGACCAACGUCCCCAUUCUCAUUUCCUUAGGUUUCUCAGAGACAAAAUUGUUGCCCCAAAGUCAGCAGGAAGGAGUGUUUGGGGAAUGCACUCAGGACCCGUUCGUAACAGACAAGUGUGUCAUAGCAGAUCUAUGUCUCCAGCUCAAAGCUUUCUCCACAGCAGCAACGAUUCUUCCGGGAAAGGUAAGUGUUCCCUGCAGGUAGUGUCCCUUCCCGGACUUCGCACUGCGCUGAGAGCAGUUAAUGGGUAUCCCUUCCCACAGUCCUUUUCCACUCACCAAACUGUACCCACCUCUGCUUCCCCCUCAUUCCCUGGCCACCAUUCUGCAUCCUGACAUGGCUUAGGAGUCCACGGGAUCUGGGUCCUGCCAACUGCCUAGACCUCAUUCUCUAUCUCGGCUCUUAUUUGGUUUCCUCAUGGUCACUCUGGCCCCCCUGGCUACUUUGGACCACGGCUCACUCAGGGCUUUCUGUCCCUAUGCUGCGACUGUCCCCAGACAGCUUCUAGCUCCUACCUCACAUACUCUAAGAUCGUUUGAAUGUGAACUGUCCCUCCCAGGCUCAUACGUUUGAGCACUCAGUCCUCAGUGAGGAGUGCUGUGUUGGGGGUUGUGGAACAUUCAGGAUGGGGAUCAUGAUUCGUAAAGACAUUUGUAAAGAGGACACUCGGGUUGGCCUCUAAGAAUGAUAACUCAGCCUCUCUUCCAGGCCUACCACCACUUCCUGCUGUGAUAUAAGCAAGCCACAAUCUCCUGUAGCCAUUAACUGAACCCGCAGGCACCAUGUCUUCCCUCAGAUAAGCGACUGUUUUACUUAGGGUUUCCGUUGCUGUGAAGAGACACCCUGACCACAGUGACUCUUAUAAAGGAAAGCAUUUAAUUGGGGCUGGCUUACAGUUCAGAGGUUUAUUUAGUCCAUUACUGUCAUGGUAGGAAGCACAGGUAAGAGCUAGUGAUGAUAACCUAGUGACCUUGGAUGAUCUAGUGGCCACACAUGGAGUGUGCCUCUUCGAGCUGAUGGGAUCAGUGUUAGGUCAAGACAAGAGUGAACGGUGCCUCUUAGGAUCUAGGCCUAAACAUCAGAAGGAUGAUGCGGCCAUGUCUGUAUCAUGGAGAGGGACGGGUACCACUCUCAGGAUGUUGGAAACGAGUGCCUGGAAAUCCUGCUGUUUUAGCAGGGGAUGCUUCCUGCCCGUAGCCCAUUGGUGGCUUCACAAGAGGAGUGGUCAAGUUGAAGAUGGAGUUGCUGUGUGGAAGGUUCAGCUUACAAGCCAUUGGAGAAGCAUGGCUGGGCACAGGCAGCGGCCUCUAGCUCUUGGGCUGGCCAGCGCUUCUUCCUCCUUCCUCCUCUCUUCCCUCUGUCCCUCCCUCUUUCCCUCCCUUUUGGAAAGGGUCUCACUAUGUAGCUCAUACUGGUCUGAUCCUCCUGCCUCAGCCUGAGUGCUUGGACAGCAGGCUUGCACUGAAUUACUGGCUCAUUCUGACGUUGCUGCAGCUGUUGCUGCUCGAUGCAGAGUUAAACACUGAAGCCCUGUGUGGACUGGUAUCAGAGGGAGCUGCGGACCCUGAUUGGCUGGUAAGAGGGAGCUCCGGACUCUGAUUGGCUGCUGCAGCCUAUCACGACUCAUCGGGACUAGAAAAGAAGAUAUGACCAUGGAGUGGGCGUGGAGGACGGACAACUCUUCAAGGGGGGUGUGGGGGAGAGAGCGUCACACUUUCCAGUUUGCUCUUCUGCACUCUUCUCCAGUUCCAGGGCAGGCAGCCAGUCCAGGCUCCUGUCUCAGCCUUAGUGGCCCCUUCUUGCCCUUCAAUUCGGAAAAGCCUGGUCCUGCUGCAGGAUCGGUCUAGGUACUCUAGACCUGGACACUCCUCAACAUCCCCCCGCCACUUGAGCACCCCUUCCCAACCCACAUCAGGUUGUUCUUAUUGCUACCCAGUCUGUUUGCCCCCUUGCUCAAGACCUGUCCUGCUCACUCAUGUCUCCACCACUCAAAAUGGCCUCCCUUGUUGAAGGAAGUCUCUGCAUACCUGACAAGCAGACAGCAAUAGUAGGGAAAUACUGUUGGCCAUUUCUUAGCUCAUUUUUAGAUUCUUAUAUCUAUCACCCUUCCAACCCUUAUCAAAUUUUCCCAGAAUUCCAAACAAACUAUCUGCUGCUGGCAAAAAACACACCCCUCCUAGUGCACGAGAUAAAUCGUAGUCACCUGCUAUGAGGCAAGCCCAUAUCCCAUACUAAACAUAGUCACAUAACAUAACUGUUUUUUGUUUUUUUGUUUUUUAGGAAACCAGAAUUCCCACCUCACACCACAGCUAUUUCUAACGCUGCAAUGGGCGUGGCUCUACCUAAGUUGUCACCGAGUGGAAAGGUCAGAUGCUGCCUUCCCAUGAUGCAACAGCAAAGGCCUAAAAUCCCGUUCCACACAGAGCCUUCACUGCGGUUUCCCUUUCAGCGUCUGGGUGCGGAGUGAGAAUACGCAGGGCCUGCAGAAUGCGGGGCUCACAGCAACCCUCCUAUAAAAGUGGACUGUCAUGCCCAUUCUACAGGAGAAAAACUGAGGCUGGAGAACGCGAGCUAUCCUGUCCAAGGUUAUGAAGCCACCCAGGUUCCAGCCUCCAUGCUUGGUAAGUAGGCCUUAUGGAUCAGCUAUAGGUUGGGCAACUUGGCAAAGCCUCCAGAGAGAUGGUAACUGUGAU
RNAcentral lists this small RNA (2973 nucleotides) under Rattus norvegicus (Norway rat). RNAcentral describes it as "uncharacterized LOC102554169". Lineage: Eukaryota; Metazoa; Chordata; Mammalia; Rodentia; Muridae. The record is from RNAcentral.